CCAAAGCCCUAUUUUCUUAUCCUCGUUUCUGUCUUCUUUCUUUUUGCGCGACCCUCUCUCUUCCUGUGUCUCCAAAACCCACCCAAAUCACAUCUCUCUUUUUCUCUCCGUUUCUCGAGUAAUUUUUGGGUGUUCCCGGUACACCACGUGGCUGGUGUACCAUUCAAUAGACGGAAGACAUAUGGAAUAUUUCUAAUACAGUCCGCCACAUGUCAUAAAAAGAAAUGCAGUAAGUUGGAUAAUAAUUUCAUAUGUUCUAUGUUUAUUGGAUGGUACACCAGACACGUGAUGUACCUGGAACAUUUAAAAAUUUCUCCCGUUUCUCUAACUCCCUCCCAAGUUCUCUGGUUUACACUCCUCUAGUUCUCUAUCCUUGGCUCUCUCUCCCUCCCGAUCUUUCUCUAUUUUCCCUUAAAAGCAAAUUAGAAGGCGGAUGGACAGGGGCAAAGAAGAAGCGUUAGAAAUUGAAAAACUUCGGCAACAGGAGCGGCUUGAUGAGAAACUUUGGCUAAAGGAGCGGCUGGAUGAGGAUGAACGGAAGAAGAUGAGGAAGAAGAUGAAGGAUCGACAUCUCCAUACGGAGAAACGGAAGAGACAUAUGCUAGGCGAUGAUAUGGAGGAGCAGAAGAGUAAAGAAGCUUUUCAUGGGGGAUCCAGAUGGGGGUCGUGGGAUCCCCCUGUCCUGCCUACUAAGGGUAAAGAAGUGGAUAUUGAGCACAAGGAUGAGAGACUUUCCCUCUCCAAUUGGAAAUCGGAUGAUUGCCUUGUCCUGUUUUGUACGGAGGAGCAGAAGGGUAAAGACGAUUUUGACAUCACGGAGAGUCUGGAUCAGAAGCUUAUAGAAUCUUUUUUAGGCGAUUCCGAUUGGUUGCCGUUGGAUAUCCCGCAAGAAGUGAAUAUUGAGCAUGAGCACAAGGAAUUACACUUCGAAUUUGAGGAGGAAGCAUCUGAAGGAGGAGGAGGAGGAGCUGAUGGAUGCAAAGCAUCUGAUGGAUGAGGAGGAGGAGCUGAUGGAUGCAAAGCAUCUGGUGGAUGUGGAGGAUCUGGAGGCAGAGGAUGAGCAGGAGCUUAAUGCUUUUUAUGGCGGAUCCAAUUCAGUUUCGUUGGGGCAGUUGGUGAUUAGAGACCAAUUGCAUGCUCCUCCAUCGCCACAUGGGAUGAGCACUCCAAAAAUCCUGUAUUUAUGUUUUGGCGAAUAUAUGGCUGGUAAUAAGACUCUGUACUCUAUUCAAGCACUAUGCUUGCAUUCUUUCCCUCCAGUCCAGACCUUAAAGGCCAAAGAACUGGCAUAUAUACGUGGUGAAGGGCUUCCCCUCCGUAUGGGUUGCGGUCUUUUUGGAUCGAACAUUGUUUUUCUCGGCGGCGUUGAAAGCAGAUUCGAUUGUUACAGCGGUGAUUUCACAACAUAUCCACGUAAAGACAUUUAUACUUUUGACACUAAACAUCCCUACACCUGCGAAGUCUUCAACAACAGUUCCCUCCGACAAGGAAAGUCUCGUCCUUUUCUGGUGCAGUACUACGAUAAGCUGUAUGUGCUCUCUAUUUUAACGUUAAGCUUAUGUGAUGGUAGCAAUUUUAGACCUGCUUUUGAGAUGUUCGACUUAAAACAGGGCAAGUGGGCGACUCUGCCUGCCCCUGUAGCUGGCUCUCGUUUUAUCUCUCAUGUAGUUGUAGGCUCAUGUAUUUUUGUCAAUGCUACAUUUGGGCAUGUGUUAUGCUUUGACAUGGCUGACCCCAGCCCAAAAUGGAGAGUGCACAAUUUUACCAACUGCUCUGCAUUGCCCUAGGAAUAUAUUCGCGAAACUUUAACUGUAGAAUAUGGGGAUGGCAAUUGGGUGAUUUUGAGUUGUAGGCCAUAUUUAGAUGUUGACAGAUUCAAUGAUCAUCCUCAUUAUGAAUGGAAGCAUACUUUUAUAACCGCUCAUUUGAUGUCCAAGGACUACACAUUACUGACACCUUUUGAACCUGAUCUGAAGAUUCCGCAUGGUUACUUACCCCCUGGUGGAGAUAAACAUUUGCCCGUGCGUGGUGUAGAGUAUAAAUUGGUCCAUCUACAAGGUCGAGAAAUCUGCCUUAUUAUAUCCGUAGAAAGAGGGGACGAGUUGGAGGACGGAGAGAUCGAGAGGAUGCAGACUUAUGUCAUGAUUUUCGAAUUUGAAAUUGUCGAGGGCAAACACACCUUAGCCUUCAAAGUCUUGCAUCCUGCUUCCAGGAUUAUAGACGACCGGUCAUCUGAAUCUAGGACCAAUAAAGUAGGCCUGGAGGGUGCCUUUUUUCUGUAAAAAGUCAUUAAAUACGUGAAAGUGCAGAAGGUGCAGUCAUUCCGAAGAAGGCCUCAGAUGUUGAUACUGACUAAGAUGGAAGAUCUUCUACUUUUGUUUAUGGAACUGAUAAUUUUGUAUUAUGUUUUAUUUAUACUUUGGUGUCAGUCAAAUAUUGGGCUAACAUCCAAUCACCAAUUAUGUGGUUUCCAACAUUUGUAAUUGUUGCUUUUCUUAUCCAUGUGCUUUCAUGUUA
This is a non-coding RNA of Prunus avium (sweet cherry), 2517 nucleotides long. NCBI's taxonomy places the organism in Eukaryota, Viridiplantae, Streptophyta, Magnoliopsida, Rosales, Rosaceae. The record is from RefSeq and is a predicted model, not a curated record.